UACGGAGGGUGCAAGCGUUAAUCGGAAUUACUGGGCGUAAAGCGCACGUAGGUGGUUUGUUAAGCUAGCUGUGAAAUCCCCGGGCUCAACCUGGGCACUGCAGUUAGAACUGGCAAGCUAGAGUAGGGUAGAGGGGUGUGGAAUUCCAGGUGCAGCGGUGAAAUGCGUAGAUAUCUGGAGGAACAUCAGUGGCGAAGGCGACACCCUGGACUCAUACUGACACUGAGGUGCGAAAGCGUGGGGAGCAAACAGG
RNAcentral lists this ribosomal RNA (253 nucleotides) under uncultured bacterium. RNAcentral's name for it is "partial 16S ribosomal RNA". It matches the Rfam family "Bacterial small subunit ribosomal RNA", at positions 524 to 776 of the family's 1533-position model. The record is from RNAcentral.